Molecule: ribosomal RNA, 720 nt
Filed under: Vittaforma corneae
Lineage: Eukaryota; Fungi; Microsporidia; Nosematidae
Description: SSU rRNA
Rfam family: Microsporidia small subunit ribosomal RNA
Source: RNAcentral
GGGAAAUUAGGGUUUUGUACCGGAGAGGGAGCCUGAGAGAUUGCUCCCACGUCCAAGGACGGCAGCAGGCGCGAAAAUUGCCCACUCUUUGCAGGAGGCAGUUAUGAGACGUGAAGAUGAGUAUCUUGUAAAGAGGGAUAGGAGAAUUGGAGGGCAAGUUUGGUGCCAGCAGCCGCGGUAAUACCGACUCCAAGAGUGUGUAUGAGAGAUGCUGCAGUUAAAAAGUCCGUAGUCAUAGAAGGGCAAAGAGAGAUGCGAGGUCUCACAGUGCGAUGAUGGAGGAGCCGAUGGGGAACAUAGUAUACCAGGGCGAGAGAUGAAAUGCCAAGACCCCUGGUGGACUGAGCGAGGCGAAGGCGAUGUUCUUGUAGGCAUUCGGUGAUCAAGGACGAAGGCUGGAGUAUCGAAAGUGAUUAGAUACCGCAGUAGUUCCAGCAGUAAAAGAUGCCGACAUGCUCAUUGGACACAGUGGGCAGGGAGAAAUCUUAGAGUUCGGGCUCUGGGGAUAGUAUGCUCGCAAGGGUGAAAAUUAAAGAAAUUGACGGAGCUACACCACAAGGAGUGGAUUGUGCGGCUUAAUUUGACUCAACGCGAGGAAACUUACCAGGGCCAAGUAUUGUGUAGAAACGAGCAAUACAGGAGUGGUGCAUGGUCGUUGGAAAAUUGAUGGGAUGACUUUGACCUUAAAUGGUUGAAUGAGUGAGAUCUUUUGGGACAUGU